ACGCAGUUUCCGACCGGUAUCUUCGUUGGCACUUUCCGUUUUCCUUUUUCCAAUGGAUAAUGGAAACAAGGGUACCCGGCGUUGUUUACGGCUAUUUGGAUGAUCGUCCGCGGUUUUACGCUUUCGUCCUUUUGCUGGCAGUGUUGGUGGAAACAAGGCGACACGACCAUGUUUUAUUGGACCAUCUCGAUCGUCUUCCAGAUACCUUUUUUGCCCUUUGGUUGGCAACGUCGAUGGAAAUAAUUGUGGGCGCGGUUGCUUUGGCACUUGUUCUAUUUCAUCUUCGUCAGUUCUUUUGCGUUUGCGAAACUUUUCCAGCUCUUGUUGUACUCCUAAUGGUGCCGGUUGCAACACGGUUUCAUCGGAGAAUUGCACAGGGUUUUCGUCAGGCGCUCUUCCAUAAUGCGUCUAGGAACAAUAUAGUACUCAUCCAUUUCCAAUCAACGAUGUUAGGACCCCAGCAAUAACCGGGUGAUGAUAAAGGGUGCUAACGAUUUUACGCGUUCCGACAUUUUGGCAGUUGUGACGAAUUUCGAUCCAAAUAAAUCCUCAUGUGCUCGUUGGGAAAGAUAUGGGAGCGAAUACGUAAGUAUUCUGGGCACGUUGGUCGCAAGUCCAAAAUUAAAGGUUGGUACGGUAGUGCAGUGACCUUACUAUAAGCAGUAACCAGUUGCUUCAGUCCGGUCUGUCUGGCCAAUAAUGCUAUUUGAUUUACAUCUCUCACGUUUUUGAAAAGGACUAGAUACUGUAGAUUGAGGGUGAUGUCCCGCAUGACCUUGCCUUGCUUAAAUAGAUUUUGUAGAAGCACGAUAACUGAAACAUUUUUGUGAUGGAUUCCGCGUGUAAAAAGAUUGGCACACCGCACGUCUUUGCAGAGAUCAGUCGCCAAGUCGUCAAUAACAACUAAUGUAGGCACCUUUUCAUCUAGUGACUCGGAACAGGCAAAGAAUUCGUCCAAUCCUUUAAUAAAUUCUAUAAAAGGGUUUGCAGAUAGUAGCUUUUCGA
This is a long non-coding RNA of Paramacrobiotus metropolitanus, 1005 nucleotides long. RefSeq lists it as uncharacterized. The transcript has 3 exons. The record is from RefSeq and is a predicted model, not a curated record. NCBI's taxonomy places the organism in Eukaryota, Metazoa, Tardigrada, Eutardigrada, Parachela, Macrobiotidae.